RNA transcript from Notolabrus celidotus (New Zealand spotty), 2334 nucleotides. It is a transcript of the gene named serine and arginine rich splicing factor 7a, with no coding region annotated. The record is from RefSeq and is a predicted model, not a curated record. Lineage: Eukaryota; Metazoa; Chordata; Actinopteri; Labriformes; Labridae. The transcript has 9 exons.
AGAAGAGGAGAAGAAGCAGCGUCGCACUGCGCAGGAGCGGAUGUAAAGCGGAUCGCUGCUCGCAUCGCUCGUGAGGUCGGAAAUCGUCGCUGGUGUUCGACCCGGUCAACCUCCCCUAAAGUCAUGUGGAAGACUGGUCCAGGUCCAUGAAAGAGUCUGAUCGGGACUUUAAUCUGAAGGAGUACUCUGCUGUAAAUUAGAGGUUAAUCCAGGAGACUGAAGGGGACGGUUAGUUUCCCGCCCUGCUCGGAGCUGAAAUCAUCGAAGGCACGGACAGAUGUCGUCCCACUAUUCAUCAUCCCGGGGCUCAUCCCGAGCCACAGACUGUAAAGUCUACGUUGGGGACUUAGGCAACGGUGCAGCUAAGGGGGAGCUGGAGAGAGCGUUCAGUUAUUAUGGCCCGCUGAGAAGCGUCUGGGUGGCGAGGAACCCGCCUGGCUUCGCUUUUGUGGAGUUUGAGGAUCCCAGAGAUGCAGAAGAUGCUGUGAAGGGAAUGGAUGGGAAACUCCUUUGUGGUUCCCGUGUUCGUGUGGAGAUGUCAACAGGCCUCUCCAGAAAGGGCCGUGGACGCCCAAGCCGACGCCAGUUUGAUCCCCAAGACCGGUGUUACCAGUGUGGAGAUCGGGGCCACUACGCCUAUGACUGCUACCGCUUCAGCAAGAGAGGAGGAGGAGGAGGAGGCCGCCGGGGCAGCAGAUCUCGCUCUCGUUCAAGAUCUCGCUCCAGAUCCAGGUCCCGUGGACGCCGCUAUCACUCUCGCUCUCGCUCACGCAGCCGCAGCUACAGCCGGAGCCGCCGUCGAUCCCCGUCCUACUCCAGGCGCAGGAGCCGGUCUGGCUCCCAAGCACGUUCUAAAUCCAGGACUCCAGCGAGAAGUCGCUCCAGAUCGAGGUCUCGUUCUGGCUCUGCACCAAGAGGGCGCUCUGCACCCAGGGGGCGCUCUGCACCCAGAGGACGCUCUUUCUCACGCUCAAGGUCCCCAUCAGCCAACCACAAGAGGAACAGCGUGUGGUGGGAGCUGAGCACUGCACUGACACCACAGCUGAUCCCAGGCCCAGGGUCUGCCAGCUGGCGGUGUGUACGUCCUGCGGGAGGGUGACAUAGCGCUGACCUGAGAUCAGCCUUCGCCUGCAUCUGGUGUUAGACAGCGAGAAAGAGGUCGACCUGCAGACAGAACCCUCCCCACAGUGAAAGGGUGACCGUCUGUUCAACCGACGCACACGCUCAGAUGAGAUCAGCCCGCGCACACAUAGAGUUGUUCUACUAGAAUCACCCAGACAGCCUUCAGAUCUACCAGAGGGCUGACCACACAGAUCAGAGUUCGACCACUACCUUUUUAAACCCAAAACCUACCUACCAGACCCGUUUCUACCUACCAGAGUUCUUCGGCCUCUGACUUAGCUUCUCUGAAAGUGAGAGAAAGAGCUGACGAGAGAUCAGUCUUCAAGAGGCCACCAGCGCAGUGUCUCUCCAAGUUGUAGUCAUCCGUCCUUCAGUCCUUUCAUCCUUCGCUUCUCUGUACUUGUUGUUUCUGCCACUGUCUGCAAAGUCGUUCCCGUUCGGCAACCCCAAACCGAGGCGCAACGCCAGCUGAAGACUGAGUGAAGACUCAAAAGUCCCAUCUAAUGUCCCUCCUCUUUAUAGACCCUCACCCCUGCUCCAUGUCUGCUUUUACAGCCUAACAGCAGCUUUUUUUGUACUUGUCUGUCUCGACCCAGCUUAAGUUGAGCACGUUUUUCUGAAGAAACAAAACCUCCCAUGGACUGUGGUCUCAAACUGUUGAGGAUUAAGUCAGUACGACAAGUAAAAUAAGUUUCCAUUUGAUUGUUUUAAAUGUUGCUGUUAAGAUUAUCUUUGAUCUUGCAUCCAUGUUGAGGUAAUUCUGAAUGUUGCAGACAACUUUUAGCAGGUAGUUCAUUUGGAAAAAACUGCCUGGUUCAUGCAGGGUUCCUGAGGCUGAAGAUUUCUGAACUCUUUCUCCUCUUUUGCAAAAGAUUUUUUUAUUUUAUUUUUUGCCUCCCUAUUUGAAGUCAUGAUUUCGUCAUCAUAUAACGGCUCCAGGAAAUGGCGGCUGGCCUGCAUGCCUUUAAAUAUGGUGUCACAUUCCUGCUGUUUGUUCUCUGCCCUUUUUACGGUCCUGAUCAGCUUCCCUUUACGCUGAAUGGAUUCGCCCUGCAUGGUAGUCCCAAUUUGAUUCUGUGAAUUCUGAUUUUAAAAUGUAAACAGUGCUUCAGUUUGAUUUCUGUAAGGGCUGCUUUAACAGUUUGUUGUGUCCCGGCUCAUCUGAAGACAGUGGCAGUUUUAUUUUUGAAUUAAACCUCUUCAUCAUACCUC